RNAcentral lists this ribosomal RNA (1563 nucleotides) under Triticum aestivum (bread wheat). RNAcentral describes it as "partial small subunit ribosomal RNA". Lineage: Eukaryota; Viridiplantae; Streptophyta; Magnoliopsida; Poales; Poaceae. The record is from RNAcentral.
AUGGCAGGUCUCGUCAUGCUAGAGAUGCUUCCGCGGGCAUGGUUUCUGUAUCUCUUCCCGCUCUUCCUCUUGUUUCUGCAUUAUUAUUGCUUCACUGUGAAUGGGAAGACAGGAAAAGGGCAGCAGCGAGAAAGCCGCCUUCCGCCUUCUCCACCGGCACUGCCCAUCAUCGGACACCUGCACCUCGUUGGCUCUCGCCCGCACGCCUCCCUCCGCGACCUCGCUGCAAGGCACGGCCGCGACGGCCUCAUGCUCCUCCGUCUCGGCGCCGUGCCGACGCUCGUCGUGUCGUCGCCGCGUGCCGCGGAGGCGGUACUGCGCACGCACGACCACAUCUUUGCGUCACGGCCCCGCUCCAUGGUCCCCGACAUCAUCUUGUAUGGCUCAUCCGACGUCGCCUUUGCGCCAUAUGGCGAGCACUGGCGGCAGGCAAAGAAGCUCCUCACGAACCACGUGUUGAGUGUUAAAAAGGUGGAGUCUCUCCGCACCGUCUCCAUGGAACAGGUGAGCAUGGUGAUGGCCAAGAUUAAUGAGGCCGCCGCAGUAGGAGGUGUGAUGGACAUGAGCAAGCUUCUCAAGUCAUUCAAAUGUGACAUUGCGUGCCGCAUCGUGUCGGGAGAAUACUUCCUAAAAGAAGGACGAAGCAAGUUGUUCCAGGAGCUCACUAGCGAAACAUCACAUCUGCUAGGAGGGUUCAACAUGGAGAAGUUCUACCCAACAUUGGCUAGGGUAGGAGUAGGGCUGCUUAAGAGGAACAUUAGUGCAAAGGCUGAGAGAGUGAAAAAUAGAUGGGAUGAUCUGCUGGACAAGGUGAUCGAUGAUCAUGAUAGCAAGGACAAGUCAAUGUUUGAUUACAACUGUGGCAAUUUCAUAGACAUUCUAUUAUCUAUUCAGAUGGAGUAUGGUCUCACGAGAGAGCACAUGAAAGCUCUACUAAUUGAUGUAUUUUUCGGUUCAAUAGAGACGAUGUCUAACACUCUGGAAUUCACAUUGGCUGAGAUCAUGAGGAGCCCCCGCCUGAUUGGGAAGCUACAAGACGAGGUAAGGAGUAUCAUACCCAAGGGACAAGAGCUUGUCAGCGAAGCUGACAUUAACAAGAUGGCAUACCUAAGAGCAGUCAUAAAGGAGUCACUCCGACUCCAUCCUGUUGCGCCUUUACUUGCUCCACACCUGGCUAUGGCUGACUGCAACAUUGAUGGGUACAUGGUUCCUGCUAAGACACAUGUCUUGAUCAAUGUAUGGGCCCUUGGUAGAGACUCUAGCUGUUGGGAGGACGCUGAAGAGUUCAUACCGGAAAGAUUUAUAGAAGAAGGAAGUGAUAUGGGUGUCAAUUUCAAGGGGAAUGAUUUCCAGCUCUUGCCAUUUGGGGCAGGACGCAGGAUGUGCCCUGGUAUAAACCUCGGGAUCGCGACCGUCGAGCUUAUGUUGGCAAACUUGAUGCACCAUUUCGACUGGGAACUCCCGCUUGGGGUUGAGAGAAAAGACAUCAAUAUGACAGAGGUGUUUGGGCUAACUGUGUGCCGGAUGGAGAAACUAUUGUUAGUUCCCAAGUCAUGCAUGUAG